RNAcentral lists this ribosomal RNA (520 nucleotides) under uncultured bacterium. RNAcentral's name for it is "bacterial SSU rRNA". It matches the Rfam family "Bacterial small subunit ribosomal RNA", at positions 373 to 883 of the family's 1533-position model. The record is from RNAcentral.
GGGCGCAAGCCUGACGACGCAACGCCGCGUGGAGGAUGAAGACCUUCGGGUCGUAAACUCCUUUCGACCGAGAUGAAGCGGAGCCGGCUUAAUACGUCGGCUCCUUGACAGUAUCGAGGGAAGCAGCCCCGGCUAACUCCGUGCCAGCAGCCGCGGUAAUACGGGGGGGGCAAGCGUUGUUCGGAAUUACUGGGCGUAAAGGGUUUGUAGGUGGCCGACUAAGUCAGACGUGAAAUCCCUCAGCUUAACUGGGGAACUGCGUCUGAGACUGGUCGGCUUGAGGGCCGGAGAGGAACGCGGAAUUCCAGGUGUAGCGGUGAAAUGCGUAGAUAUCUGGAGGAACACCGGUGGCGAAGGCGGCGUUCUGGACGGCAUCUGACACUGAGAAACGAAAGCCAGGGGAGCAAACGGGAUUAGAUACCCCGGUAGUCCUGGCCCUAAACGAUGAAUGCUUGGUGUGGCGGGUAUCGAUCCCUGCCGUGCCGAAGUUAACGCAUUAAGCAUUCCGCCUGGGGAGUAC